Panicum virgatum (switchgrass) is the source of this 903-nucleotide long non-coding RNA. RefSeq lists it as uncharacterized. The record is from RefSeq and is a predicted model, not a curated record. The transcript is spliced from 4 exons. Lineage: Eukaryota; Viridiplantae; Streptophyta; Magnoliopsida; Poales; Poaceae.
CCCCCACCCCCAGCUCUCGAUGCCUUCCCCGUUCUUCCUAUCGCCCCCAGCUCCCGAUCCGUUUCCCGACGCCGCUCCUCUCAUCACCAGGAACUGGCACCGCCCGAUGCCAGCUGCUCCUCCUCCCGACGCCGCUCCUCCCGUCGCCGAUCCGGGGACUGAAGCCUGCCGUAGCCGCCGAUCCGUUCCCGACGCCUUACCUCCGCCCGUCGCCGCUCCCCUCCUUCGACGGCGCUCCCUCCUCCCGACGGCAUUCCGUGAGACCGUCCUCCCGUCGUCGUCAUCCCCAGGAGAUCCUACUAUGGCCCACCGACGAGAUCCUCCCCUGGCCUGCCUUCAGGUCAUGGAUGAAUCGAUGGCACAGCGUGGAUGAAUCGCCUGCGUAUCCCCGCAUUCAAGGUGAUGCCCUCCCAUUCCCGAUGCUGCUCACUCCUCCCGUCGCUGUCGAUCCUCCUCCGGCCUGCCCUCCGAUCAGAGAUUGUCCCACAGAUGCAUAUCAACCCAAGCAGGGUGGUGUUCGAGCAGCUUCUGAUUUGGUCGUCAAUCGUGUGCCCUGGUUCCGAUCGGCUCGGCCCUGUGGAUUGGAGACGACGGCCACCAGGGAUCCAAUCUCCUCCGCUGUAGCUUGGGGUUCCUUCCCUGGAGCGGCAGAUUUGUUUGGAUGAGUAUUCAUUGAUGCCUACGGUGCGGUGGACGCCACGAUCUCCAUUGAUAGUGUCAUCUUUCAGCAGUACCCAUCAUCACCAUUAGGUGUUUAGGGACAGUUCCCCUUGUUCAUCACUUGAUGGAUUUUGUGCAGAAAGCAUCUGUUUUCCAGUAUAUAGAUUCUGAGUUUCAUGUAAGAAUGGUAUGUUUAGAACCUAUGUGUAUAGAUUCUUAUAAAAAUAUAAGUUUGGAGUGGCA